This 499-nucleotide ribosomal RNA is filed under the name uncultured bacterium. RNAcentral's name for it is "bacterial SSU rRNA". It matches the Rfam family "Bacterial small subunit ribosomal RNA", at positions 899 to 1397 of the family's 1533-position model. The record is from RNAcentral.
ACUCAAAGGAAUAGACGGGGGCCCGCACAAGCGGUGGAGCAUGUGGAUUAAUUCGAAGCAACGCGAAGAACCUUACCAAGGCUUGACAUCCCAUUGACAGGUGUAGAGAUACACCCUUUCUUCGGAACAAUGGUGACAGGUGGUGCAUGGUUGUCGUCAGCUCGUGUCGUGAGAUGUUGGGUUAAGUCCCGCAACGAGCGCAACCCUUAUGGUUAGUAGCCAGCACGUAAUGGUGGGCACUCUAGCCAGACUGCCGUGGAUAACACGGAGGAAGGUGGGGACGAUGUCAAAUCAUCAUGCCCUUUAUGCCUUGGGCCUCACACGUGCUACAAUGGCGGCUACAAAGUGAUGCAAACACGUAAGUGCAAGCAAAGCACAAAAAAGCCGUCUCAGUUCGGAUUGGGGUCUGCAACUCGACCCCAUGAAGUUGGAAUCGCUAGUAAUCGCAGAUCAGCAUGCUGCGGUGAAUACGUUCCCGGGCCUUGUACACACCGCCCGU